This 405-nucleotide RNase P RNA is filed under the name uncultured Treponema sp. Its description in RNAcentral is "Bacterial RNase P class A". It matches the Rfam family "Bacterial RNase P class A". From Rfam's summary of the family: Ribonuclease P (RNase P) is a ubiquitous endoribonuclease, found in archaea, bacteria and eukarya as well as chloroplasts and mitochondria. Its best characterised activity is the generation of mature 5'-ends of tRNAs by cleaving the 5'-leader elements of precursor-tRNAs. The record is from RNAcentral. Lineage: Bacteria; Pseudomonadati; Spirochaetota; Spirochaetia; Treponematales; Treponemataceae.
GUGACCGCUCAUAACCUUGUUGAUGAUAACUUGGUUGUGGGAGGCAAAGUCCGGGCUCCUCCGGAAAAGAUGCCGGGUAAUAACCGGGCAGUACGGGUAGGUGCAUGACGCUGAGCAAUCAGUUUUAUACAUACCCCUGAACUGACAGAUAGUGCUACAGAAAAUAACCGCCAAUUACAAGGAUUGGUAAGGGUGAAAAGGUGGGGUAAGAGCCCACCGCACUUUUGGAGACAGAAGUGGCAUAAGUAAACCUCAUCUGGAGCAAGACCGCAUAGCAGUUGAUUUCCGGGUCUUAUACUGCGGGUAGGUCGCUGGAGGCAUUGAGCAAUCAGUGCUGCGGAUAGAUGGUCACGGGAAGACAGACCUUUGUGUUUGUUCUUCUUUCCAGAACCCGGCUUAUUCGUU